Molecule: ribosomal RNA, 428 nt
Filed under: uncultured bacterium
Lineage: Bacteria
Description: bacterial SSU rRNA
Rfam family: Bacterial small subunit ribosomal RNA
Source: RNAcentral
UGGGGAAUUUUGGACAAUGGGGGCAACCCUGAUCCAGCAAUGCCGCGUGUGUGAAGAAGGCCUUCGGGUUGUAAAGCACUUUUGUCCGGAAAGAAAACAUCCUGGCUAAUACCUGGGGUGGAUGACGGUACCGGAAGAAUAAGCACCGGCUAACUACGUGCCAGCAGCCGCGGUAAUACGUAGGGUGCGAGCGUUAAUCGGAAUUACUGGGCGUAAAGCGUGCGCAGGCGGUUUGCUAAGACCGAUGUGAAAUCCCCGGGCUCAACCUGGGAACUGCAUUGGUGACUGGCAAGCUAGAGUAUGGCAGAGGGGGGUAGAAUUCCACGUGUAGCAGUGAAAUGCGUAGAGAUGUGGAGGAAUACCGAUGGCGAAGGCAGCCCCCUGGGCCAAUACUGACGCUCAUGCACGAAAGCGUGGGGAGCAAACAG